Molecule: unclassified non-coding RNA, 494 nt
Filed under: Hevea brasiliensis (rubber tree)
Lineage: Eukaryota; Viridiplantae; Streptophyta; Magnoliopsida; Malpighiales; Euphorbiaceae
Source: RNAcentral
AUACUACCUCAUUUGGCUGAGGAUGUAUGGCUGAAUCUUCCUUUUCCAUAUUUGACCGAGGACGGUUCCAUUGCAAAAUUUGUUUUUGAAUCAAAGUGGCCUGCUUUGAAUGAGAAAUGGCUUUCUUUUCCUAAUGAAGAAAUUGAUUUCUGGGGAAAAAUUCUUGAGCUGAGAACAGAGGUGAACAAAGUUCUGGAAGCUGCUCGUGUGGGGAAGUUAAUUGGUUCUAGUUUAGAAGCAAAGGUAUAUCUGCACACACCUGAUGCUAGUUUGGCUUCAAGGUUACGUGAAAUGUGUCUGGCCAGCAAUGAUGCAGAUGCACUGCAUCGUAUAUUCAUCACAUCUCAGGCAGAAGUCCUUGCUCAUUUGGAUAACAAACUUAUUGAAACUAUAUCAUACACUGGAGAGUUUCUCAUUCAAGGAAGCAAUAGAGUUUGGAUUGGUGUGUCAUGCGCAGAGGGCUUGAAAUGUGAGAGAUGCUGGAAUUACACUCC